RNAcentral lists this long non-coding RNA (3750 nucleotides) under Lepisosteus oculatus (spotted gar). Its description in RNAcentral is "lncRNA (ENSLOCG00000022431.1)". The record is from RNAcentral. Lineage: Eukaryota; Metazoa; Chordata; Actinopteri; Semionotiformes; Lepisosteidae.
AUGACCAACUGGCCUAGCGCGUUUCCCAGGGAGACCCGCUCAGUUUAUCUGGGACCAUGCUUGCUGUACGAUGACGGGACACGGAGGAAUCUUACGACAGGCGCAGAAGUCGGAUUUCUUUCCCUUUGUCUCCGAAACUGCUUCACCUCCUGCUUUGUAUCAAGAGGAAGGUGCCGUUUCCUUUUCGAGCGAUUACAUUUACCUCUAAGGAAACGCGCAAAAAUCAUGUUCACCGUCCUUGGGUCACGCAGACGAGUUUGUCACUCUGAUGUCUCCGAUUCAGCUUCUCCUACGGCUCCAGAACAGAAAACGCGAUAUAAAACGAGGAAUCCAACAUCCCGGCUGCUGUAUGGCAGGGGCUGUUUUUCGUCACGCGGCGCUGCUCUUCCACUGCUGUAGGUAAUUUAUACAAAGCUUUAAGGCCCUUUGUAAAGACCUUCAUAGUAAACUGUAGGAAGCCCAGGAUAAGCAGAUGGGGCUUCGGCUCUUCCAACUUUGAAGUGAGAAUGUGAAGAAUCUCUCCCCUCCUUUCUCACAACAUGCUUCAGCUGUCCUUCUCCUUCAGCAAGACACCACAACCAGCCAGCUGGACUCCAGGAAUGCCGUAGCAAAGGACUUGGUUUCCUUCUAGUGACAAAAGCGGCCGCCUAAUACGCUCCGGAUUAAAAACAACAGUGGCUACCAUGGCAGAUGAAAACUCGCUGAUUGGGUGGGCCUGGAGAGCCGGGCGGCGCUGACUUCAGAAGUUCUUCCUUCCCCCCCCGGCCACAGCCAAGGGUUUCAAGGUUGUUGAGCCCAGAGCAAGGACGCAGACUCCGCAGCAGCACGGGGAGACAGCUUGUCGUGGGCAGCCGGCUGUCCUAAUUCUCACCCCCCCCUUCCCCGUCACCUCCUUCCUGUUCCACUUCUUCUGACUUUGUCAUUUAUUUCCCAGUGGGUGGGGCGCAGCACAGAAUUUGAUACCCAAACCAAACAAAAGUUGUCUUCGGUUUGGCUAGGUCUCUCUUCUUCUGGGGGGGGGACUGCUUUCUAUUUAAUUGUUUCAGAAACAUCGUCAGGUUAGGGGGGCUGCACGUCAGGGGUGGUUGAUGUGGGUUCCCCUCCUGUACGGAGUUCUCUUUGGGAUCCUUUUAGAUGAAAAGCACCACGUAAAAGCAAGUAAUUAUUAUUCGGACUAUUACUGUAGCACUGCACCUGAAUAAUGAGUGUUGAACCUUCAUAUUUACAUGUCCAAAGGUACAAAAAGGACAGCUAAUCCCCCAGAGGAAAUAAACUCCAAAUAUUUACCUCCAGUGCAGUCGUUAAACUUUUUUUUUCCCCCCAGAUAAGCUUAAGCUUCAUUACUGCCAUACGUUUCCAUUUGCUGAUAAGGCAAGAGGAGUUAUUUUGGAAAUGCAACUUGCUGUACAAGCCAAUGUUAGUUUAAUCCAUUUCUGGAAGUGAUCUGCGGACUUUAAUUAAACGUGGAGCUUCCAGUAUGUUCGGUUACUCGCACUUUGGAAACUUUAGGUUUGGAUUUGGGAGAUAAAUAUUUUGUUUAUUACUUAGAUUAAAAUGCCAGUUUGAAAAAAUGCAUAGACAAUCAUAUUGCUUAAAGAGCUGUGAUAGACAAGUCUCAAUAAUGCACUUCUAUUCUUAUUUGGUCAUUUAUGUAACUGGCUCUCACCCAACAUUUCAAUCAAAAUAAACCCAGGUCAACACGAAUGUUUGAAAUUGUGUGAUUUAUUACAGAUGACAACUGCUUUCCUUCUGGAAUUGCUGGAGCCCAUUUUUUUUUUACAGUUUGGUGGAAUUGUUUAUGUGUAAAUCACAGUUUCUACAGUACAUCUUAACAUAAGAUAAAUAACCCUUUUACCAUUUUCCGGGGACAUAAUUUCAAAUCCUCCUCCCAUUUAAAAUACACUGCUGUACAAUUCAGCAUGAGAAGAAUCGUUAAACGGUCAGAAGUUGAAAGAUGCAUUCAUUUGUCCUGAGAUUAGUAUAAUUUCUUUUUUUUUUCCUAAUCUGGAAAUUAUACCUAAUCCUAAUCUGUUAGGAUUCAUUUGAAAGGCAAACAUACAGACAUACCCAACAGCAAAUGUGAACACUUCUUAAUAGUAUUUCCAGGUCACACCCACGCAGGUCAUCCAUAUAUCUCCUAGCUGACUGAUUUUACAGAGAAAAACAAUCAAAUAAAAGACAAAGUUGUAAAGUCAAAGAUAUCAUUUAAAAGGCGUUUGUUUGCCAGUAACAUUGGUUGACUUUUAUUAGAAAGAGGACCAAAUGCUAAAGCGACUCAAUACAGUGCACUAAUAAAGCCAAUCUUCAGGCAGAUCAAACAAGCUUCACCGCUGUGGUAUCGAGGUGCCGCAGUGGUGCAGUGGUCUAGUUGCUCUGCCUGCACUGUUGUUUUUUUUUAACAAAAAGCCCUGGUGACAAGUUUCAUCCUUACAUUUAAAAAUGUGUUCCUGAAGAUUUGUUGCCAUUACUUCUAUUGUGCUCAGUCAUUUUAGGAAAUUACGCUAAUAGGAUAUGACCAAAGGCUUGGCAUGUUAUUCAAAACUGCCAAUAUUUAGAUCACUCAGCAUUCGUAUGCCAGAAAUAGAUGUGAAUGUCACCUUGGCGGAUUGAAACGUGUCCAUAAACCUCUGGGAACCACUUUAACCCCUGUCUGACAUUAUGCUUUUUACCCUGCAGGUCGCUCAAGGGUUUCUCCAUCUUGUACCCCAAAAUCACCAUUGACUCCUACAGCACAGUUCCGUAGUCAGCCAUUUACACAAGGCAACAGUUAUAGAGCCAGAUAAAUGGCUUUAACUCUUUCACCCUCAUCCUUACUCCCCUGUUCUUCAUGAUCACUUUCAAUUGAAGCGCCAUCAGGACGUCUGCUGCCACCACUGCCCACCACCUCUGUUGUUUUCUUUAAGGCAGUAGAGCUGGUUUCUCUCUGCUCUGCUGCUGGACUGCAUAGAAAUCUACAGUAUGCUCCUUUGCACCAAUGGAUAAGGCUCCUAUCUAUCGGACAGCUUCCCUGGAACAUAGGCAGAGCACUACAGGCCCCAAAACAGCUGAAAGCUCUGGUUGUUUUGGCAGGCAGAUAACAUAAGCACAUCUAGUAACAGUUUGGUUUGCAUCUGCUCUUUGAAGUCUAGAACAGCUUGCAGGGUGUAAGAACAUUGCAGCCCAAACCUCUCACAGGAGAGCUUUCCUCUCUCACACCCUGGCAACCACACAAUGCCUCCUUUUUCCAAAACUUGUAUAGAUCUCUCCACCUCCGGUACAUCUUCCAUGUUUAGGAGGAGUGUAACUGCAGUUUGCUCUGAAUGCCAAUGCAAGGUAUAAACACAAUCUUUGUUCUUCAUGGAACAAAUCCUGAAAAAAACGAGGAGCGAAUGAGUAUUGUUGUUUUUUGAGGCAAAAAUGUUCUUUGUGCAUACUGCAAAGUUGUUUUUCUUCAGACGUAAACACUGUAGAUACAGAACCUGCAAUAACAGACUGGUUUGCUAGGUGAACAGGGUGUGCUGUUUUCAAAAUGCUCCCUGCUUUUUCAUGUCAUUUAUGCAGCAGUUUGAUGUCAAAGAGUACAAAUCUCUUUAUCAAACAAAAAGGACAGACUUGAGGGAAUUAAUACUGGAAUGUACUUACGCACUGAGCUGGUUCAUUCAUUACAGUUUUAACUGACAGCAUCUACUUAGUGACAGAAAGAAUCUUCUGAUCAAAAAUAGCCGGCGUGCUGUGUUUCUAUGCAAAAUGCAUCUGAUUUUUUUUAUUUUC